GAUGAACGCUGGCGGCGUGCCUAAUACAUGCAAGUCGAGCGAACAGACGAGGAGCUUGCUCCUCUGACGUUAGCGGCGGACGGGUGAGUAACACGUGGAUAACCUACCUAUCAGACUGGGAUAACUUCGGGAAACCGGAGCUAAUACCGGAUAAUAUCUUGCACCACAUGGUUCAUUAGUGAAAUACGGCUUUGCUGUCUCUUCUAGCUGGAUCCGCGCCGCAUUAGCUAGUUGGUAAGGUAAAGGCUUACCAAGGCAACGAUGCGUAGCCGACCGGAGAGAGUGAUAGCCCGCAUUGGAACGGAGACACGGACAAGACGACUACGAGAGGCAGCAGAAGGGAAUCGUCCGCAAUAGUCGAAAGCAUGACGGAGCAAGGCCGAGCGAGUGAUGAAGGUCUUCGGAGCGUAAAACUCGGUUACUAGGUAAGAACAAAUGUGUAAGUAACUAUGCACGGCUUGACGGUAACUAAUCAGAAAGCAACGGCUAACUACGUG
Molecule: ribosomal RNA, 497 nt
Filed under: uncultured bacterium
Lineage: Bacteria
Description: partial 16S ribosomal RNA
Rfam family: Bacterial small subunit ribosomal RNA
Source: RNAcentral